This is a non-coding RNA of Pelobates cultripes (western spadefoot toad), 532 nucleotides long. The record is from the annotation of a GenBank genome assembly. NCBI's taxonomy places the organism in Eukaryota, Metazoa, Chordata, Amphibia, Anura, Pelobatidae.
GCAUCCUUUAAAAAAACAAAACACCUUUUAAUGCCAGAAUUUUUGUUUUGCACGUUACAUAUCAAAUUGUGAAAUGAGUAGUAUGUCACAGAAUAUACAAAUUCUAUUUUAAUAAUUUAUUUUUUGCAGUUACAUACUCUAUCAGAUAUCAGAUUAGAUCAGAUUUAACUUUAUUAUCACGGAACAGUGUACAUACAAAGAUAAUGAAACAUAGUUGGUCUCUGAACAGAAGUACAGUAGCGAUUAAUAAAAUAUACUAUGAGUAAAAAUGUACUCAGUAUAAACUUUAGCAGUCCGUACUUAAUGCCAUAAUGUCUCUAAUAAAAUAUAAUCCCUCCAUCAUUAAUGAAUUACUUUAACAGCCUAAUGAUACAUAUAGACAUUACACAAUAGAGCCACAAAUAUUAUUCGAUCCAACUCUAUAGCCUAUAACCCCCAUUUAUCCAAUAUAAAUCUUUACUCACCUCGUGAAAAAUCAGGCGUAUCAAACUACAAAUACUAUCAGCUAUUAGUGCAAAUAAAGUAUCUCAGC